GAUGAACGCUGGCGGCGUGCCUAAUACAUGCAAGUCGAGCGAACGGACGAGAAGCUUGCUUUUCUGAUGUUAGCGGCGGACGGGUGAGUAAAACGUGGAUAACCUACCUAUAAGACUGGGAUAACUUCGGGAAACCGGAGCUAAUACCGGAUAAUAUUUUGAACCGCAUGGUUCAAAAGUGAAAGACGGUCUUGCUGUCACUUAUAGAUGAAUCCGCGCUGCAUUAGCUAGUUGGUAAGGUAACGGCUUACCAAGGCAACGAUGCAUAGCCGACCUGAGAGGGUGAUCGGCCACACUGGAACUGAGACACGGUCCAGACUCCUACGGGAGGCAGCAGUAGGGAAUCUUCCGCAAUGGGCGAAAGCCUGACGGAGCAACGCCGCGUGAGUGAUGAAGGUCUUCGGAUCGUAAAACUCUGUUAUUAGGGAAGAACAUAUGUGUAAGUAACUGUGCACAUCUUGACGGUACCUAAUCAGAAAGCCACGGCUAACUACGUG
This 497-nucleotide ribosomal RNA is filed under the name uncultured bacterium. RNAcentral's name for it is "partial 16S ribosomal RNA". It matches the Rfam family "Bacterial small subunit ribosomal RNA", at positions 28 to 507 of the family's 1533-position model. The record is from RNAcentral.